CUCAACUAAUUCCACGAUAUACAUGUCACCUCCCACCAACAACAAAUACCAGUUAACUUUGUUGUUAAUGAGUUAAUGUGAUCAUCUUUGUUUCAUGUCAAUCAAUAGAAUCACUUUGACUUGUUUACUUUCCUUCAUAUUAGAGGAAAGCUUUUUUUUCUUUUCUAUUGCCCACAGGCCACAUGGUGAUCCAAAGAUGCGUACACCAAAAUGACCAUUUUAAACAUGGACUGUCAGUCCUCUACUUGACUAUUUAGGCAACAAUUUCAAUGCAAAAGUUUUUCUAUAGUAGUAAAAAUUGGCAAAUUAAUUAUCAACCGGAAAAUUGCAAUCAGUACAACUUUACGUGACAAGAUGAAAGCAGAAAAAAGAGGUGGAAUUUAGAGAUGAUAACUAAUUCAAAAAUUAGAACAUUUUGAUCUCACCUCGUACAGGAUAUAUUGAGUUGUAGUGAACCUCGGCCCAAAAGCUCAAGAAGAUAACUGCAACAAAGGGAGUUCAUAUACAAGAGUCAGGCCAACUUUGUUAAAACUGAAGAGAAACAACAAUGCGGACUGAUCUCAUAUGAACUCUCUUUCAUGAUUAUUUGACCAAGUAAUAAUGAUAAGGAUCACUCAGAGUUGUUUGAUAUAUUCCAAGAGAAAAGGAGAUCUCUCUUUUGAAUUGCACAACGGGAAUAAACAAAUUCACCUACCACCCGAAGGCGACCGAAAUGUAUCUGUUCUUCAUUAACAAGUUCAGAUACAAGUCUAGGAAUCUAGACUUAACCAUGAAGGUCAGUAGUACCACAACUCGUAUAUUUAGAACGUUGAUGCAGCUUAUAAGACAGCUCUGAAUUCAAGGCAAGACUAACAUCAGAGUUAAGGUCAACAUAACUAUUCAAUAUUUUCUACAAUUUAUGCACUCAAUAUAAAUAGUUGCUCCA
This is a non-coding RNA of Solanum lycopersicum (tomato), 925 nucleotides long. Lineage: Eukaryota; Viridiplantae; Streptophyta; Magnoliopsida; Solanales; Solanaceae. The record is from RefSeq and is a predicted model, not a curated record.